UACGGAGGGUGCGAGCGUUAAUCGGAAUUACUGGGCGUAAAGGGUGUGUAGGUGGUUGAUUAAGUUAUCUGUGAAAUACCUGGGCUUAACCUGGGGGGGUCAGAUAAUACUGAUUGACUAGAGUAUGGGAGAGGGCAGUGGAAUUUCCGGUGUAGUGGUGAAAUGCGUAGAUAUCGGAAGGAACACCAGUGGCGAAGGCGACUGCCUGGCCUGAUACUGACACUGAGGCACGAAAGCAUGGUUAGCAAACAGG
Molecule: unclassified non-coding RNA, 253 nt
Filed under: uncultured Legionellaceae bacterium
Lineage: Bacteria; Pseudomonadati; Pseudomonadota; Gammaproteobacteria; Legionellales; Legionellaceae
Description: contains 16S-23S intergenic spacer region
Rfam family: Bacterial small subunit ribosomal RNA
Source: RNAcentral